This 423-nucleotide ribosomal RNA is filed under the name uncultured bacterium. Its description in RNAcentral is "partial 16S ribosomal RNA". It matches the Rfam family "Bacterial small subunit ribosomal RNA", at positions 359 to 774 of the family's 1533-position model. The record is from RNAcentral.
GAAUAUUGGACAAUGGGCGAAAGCCUGAUCCAGCCAUGCCGCGUGUGUGAAGUAGGUCUUUGGAUUGUAAAGCCCUUUAAGUCGGGCGGAAGGGCAUUAAGCGAAUAUCUUGCUGUUUUGCCGUUACCGACAGAAUAAGCACCGGCCAACUCUGUGCCAGCAGCCGCGGUAAUACAGAGGGUGAAAGCGUUAAUCGGAAUUACUGGGCGUAAAGCGCGCGUAGGUGGUUCGUUAAGUUUGAUGUGAAAUCCCCGGGCUCAACCUGGGAACUGCAUCCAAAACUGGGGAGCUAGAGUAGGGCAGAGGGAGGUGGAAUUACCAGUGUAGCGGUGAAAUGCGUAGAUAUAGGAAGGAAAACCAGUGGCGAAGGCGACCACCUGGGCUAAAACUGACACUGAGGUGCGAAAGCGUGGGGAGCAAACA